AGGUCAAUUCACAUUUUGGCAAGGCUUCUAAGUGACAAUGCCAUGAAGCCUGGACUUUGGCCAUGAAUUUCUUUUCCUGGCCUGCAAUGGCACAUGCGCGGUGGCUGAGCUCACACAUGGGCCUAGGAGGCGAGGUCUGCCAAUAGUGCUAGCUUGAAGGAGGCACAACUAUGCAAAGAAAUGCCAAUGACCAAUGAAAGAUUUAGCAUUCCAGAGUGGGGAUUGCUCUGAAGCACUUGCUCAUCUUUUUCCAGUUCCUCCUCUUCAAGUCCCUGUCUUCAACAGGACAGGGUGGGGAGAUCAAGAGUGGCUCAAAUCGAAUCAACCCUCAGCUGGGGCAGUUUCAAACACAGAGUAGUCAGAUUUCAUUUGCAGUGUAGCAGCCUUCGGUUGGGGCCGUUUCAAACAACCAGGCACGGUUCAAUUAGAAUGCAUUUUUAUGCAACAAAGAACAAGAAUGAAGUCCCAUUCCUAUUGCAUAUAUAUAUAUAUAUAUAUAUAUAUAUAGACAUUUCUAAUGAUUUGCCUGGUUUUUCUAAAAAUGUUAACGCCCCUGAAAGUUUUAUAAAAUUCUGGUAAAUACAAAGGCAGAAGUGAUGUGGCUGAUUGAAUUUCUGGAUUUGAAUUUACGAUAAGAGAUUUGUGCGUGGGC
This is a long non-coding RNA of Cornus florida, 652 nucleotides long. RefSeq lists it as uncharacterized. The record is from RefSeq and is a predicted model, not a curated record. The transcript is spliced from 3 exons. NCBI's taxonomy places the organism in Eukaryota, Viridiplantae, Streptophyta, Magnoliopsida, Cornales, Cornaceae.